RNAcentral lists this ribosomal RNA (1427 nucleotides) under Lactiplantibacillus plantarum. Its description in RNAcentral is "bacterial SSU rRNA". It matches the Rfam family "Bacterial small subunit ribosomal RNA". Lineage: Bacteria; Bacillati; Bacillota; Bacilli; Lactobacillales; Lactobacillaceae. The record is from RNAcentral.
AGUCGAACGAACUCUGGUAUUGAUUGGUGCUUGCAUCAUGAUUUACAUUUGAGUGAGUGGCGAACUGGUGAGUAACACGUGGGAAACCUGCCCAGAAGCGGGGGAUAACACCUGGAAACAGAUGCUAAUACCGCAUAACAACUUGGACCGCAUGGUCCGAGCUUGAAAGAUGGCUUCGGCUAUCACUUUUGGAUGGUCCCGCGGCGUAUUAGCUAGAUGGUGGGGUAACGGCUCACCAUGGCAAUGAUACGUAGCCGACCUGAGAGGGUAAUCGGCCACAUUGGGACUGAGACACGGCCCAAACUCCUACGGGAGGCAGCAGUAGGGAAUCUUCCACAAUGGACGAAAGUCUGAUGGAGCAACGCCGCGUGAGUGAAGAAGGGUUUCGGCUCGUAAAACUCUGUUGUUAAAGAAGAACAUAUCUGAGAGUAACUGUUCAGGUAUUGACGGUAUUUAACCAGAAAGCCACGGCUAACUACGUGCCAGCAGCCGCGGUAAUACGUAGGUGGCAAGCGUUGUCCGGAUUUAUUGGGCGUAAAGCGAGCGCAGGCGGUUUUUUAAGUCUGAUGUGAAAGCCUUCGGCUCAACCGAAGAAGUGCAUCGGAAACUGGGAAACUUGAGUGCAGAAGAGGACAGUGGAACUCCAUGUGUAGCGGUGAAAUGCGUAGAUAUAUGGAAGAACACCAGUGGCGAAGGCGGCUGUCUGGUCUGUAACUGACGCUGAGGCUCGAAAGUAUGGGUAGCAAACAGGAUUAGAUACCCUGGUAGUCCAUACCGUAAACGAUGAAUGCUAAGUGUUGGAGGGUUUCCGCCCUUCAGUGCUGCAGCUAACGCAUUAAGCAUUCCGCCUGGGGAGUACGGCCGCAAGGCUGAAACUCAAAGGAAUUGACGGGGGCCCGCACAAGCGGUGGAGCAUGUGGUUUAAUUCGAAGCUACGCGAAGAACCUUACCAGGUCUUGACAUACUAUGCAAAUCUAAGAGAUUAGACGUUCCCUUCGGGGACAUGGAUACAGGUGGUGCAUGGUUGUCGUCAGCUCGUGUCGUGAGAUGUUGGGUUAAGUCCCGCAACGAGCGCAACCCUUAUUAUCAGUUGCCAGCAUUAAGUUGGGCACUCUGGUGAGACUGCCGGUGACAAACCGGAGGAAGGUGGGGAUGACGUCAAAUCAUCAUGCCCCUUAUGACCUGGGCUACACACGUGCUACAAUGGAUGGUACAACGAGUUGCGAACUCGCGAGAGUAAGCUAAUCUCUUAAAGCCAUUCUCAGUUCGGAUUGUAGGCUGCAACUCGCCUACAUGAAGUCGGAAUCGCUAGUAAUCGCGGAUCAGCAUGCCGCGGUGAAUACGUUCCCGGGCCUUGUACACACCGCCCGUCACACCAUGAGAGUUUGUAACACCCAAAGUCGGUGGGGUAACCUUUUAGAACCAGC